UGAGAGGAUGGGGUCUGUGAUGUAG
RNAcentral lists this non-coding RNA (25 nucleotides) under Mus musculus (house mouse). The record is from RNAcentral. Lineage: Eukaryota; Metazoa; Chordata; Mammalia; Rodentia; Muridae.